CCUACGGGAGGCAGCAGUAGGGAAUCUUCCACAAUGGACGCAAGUCUGAUGGAGCAACGCCGUGUGAGUGAAGAAGGGUUUCGGCUCGUAAAGCUCUGUUGUUAAAGAAGAACGUGGGUGAGAGUAACUGUUCACCCAGUGACGGUAUUUAACCAGAAAGCCACGGCUAACUACGUGCCAGCAGCCGCGGUAAU
RNAcentral lists this ribosomal RNA (194 nucleotides) under uncultured Pediococcus sp. RNAcentral describes it as "partial 16S ribosomal RNA". It matches the Rfam family "Bacterial small subunit ribosomal RNA", at positions 338 to 524 of the family's 1533-position model. The record is from RNAcentral. Lineage: Bacteria; Bacillati; Bacillota; Bacilli; Lactobacillales; Lactobacillaceae.